GCUCCCUCAUCACCAUUUUCUCACUGCAGCCAGAAGUUCAGGAAGGAACAAAGGCAACGUAAGUUUUUUUUUUUUUUGAGGAAGAUUAGCCCUGAGGUAACUGCUGCCAAUCCUCCUCUUUUUGCUGAGGAAGACUCGCCCUGAGCUAACAUCAUGCCAAUCGUCCUCUACUUUAUAUGUGCGAUGCCUACCACAGCAUGGUGUGCCAACCAUGUCCACAUCCAGGAUCUGAACCGGCGAACCCCGGGCUGCCGAAGCAGGACAUGAGCACUUAACCGCUGCACCACUGUGCCACCCCCUCUCCAGUUUUCAAACACAUGACUUCAUCGUAUCUCGAGGUCUCAGAAUCCAAAACUCUGUGGAAGAUUCUGUUG
This 374-nucleotide long non-coding RNA is filed under the name Equus caballus (horse). RNAcentral describes it as "lncRNA (ENSECAG00000041459.2)". The record is from RNAcentral. Lineage: Eukaryota; Metazoa; Chordata; Mammalia; Perissodactyla; Equidae.